RNAcentral lists this ribosomal RNA (530 nucleotides) under uncultured eukaryote. Its description in RNAcentral is "SSU rRNA". It matches the Rfam family "Eukaryotic small subunit ribosomal RNA", at positions 21 to 549 of the family's 1831-position model. The record is from RNAcentral.
UAGUCAUAUGCUUGUCUCAAAGAUUAAGCCAUGCAUGUCUAAGCACAAGCCGAUUAAUGGUGAAGCCGCGAAUGGCUCAUUACAACAGCCAUAGUUUCUUAGAUCUUACUUUUCUAAUUGGAUAACUGUGGUAAUUCUAGAGCUAAUACACGCAAACAAGCUCAGACCUUACGGAAUGAGCGCAUUUAUUAGAACAAAAACCAAUCGGGCUUCGGUCCGUCAUUUGGUGAAUCUGAAUAACUUUGCUGAUCGCACGGUCUUCGUACCGGCGACAUAUCUUUCAAAUGUCUGCCUUAUCAACUUUCGAUGGUAGUUUAUGCGCCUACCAUGGUUGUAACGGGUAACGGAGAAUAAGGGUUCGACUCCGGAGAGGGAGCCUGAGAAACGGCUACCACAUCCAAGGAAGGCAGCAGGCACGCAAAUUACCCACUCCCGGCACGGGGAGGUAGUGACGAAAAAUAACGAGACGGCUCGCUAUGCGGUCCGUCAUCGGAAUGGGUACAAUUUAAAUCCUUUAACGAGGAUCUAUU